This 201-nucleotide long non-coding RNA is filed under the name Elaeis guineensis (African oil palm). RNAcentral describes it as "long non-coding RNA (EGUI_LNC057048)". Lineage: Eukaryota; Viridiplantae; Streptophyta; Magnoliopsida; Arecales; Arecaceae. The record is from RNAcentral.
UUGCUCAAAUUUUUCUUUUUCAAUACUUCUCUCCUCUUUUUUGCCAUCAACAAAAAGAGUCAAACAAGGAUACCUCAAAAACAUCAAUAAUAAAAGUGAUACCACAAAAUUAUAUUAUUAUAAAUGUAACAAGGAUAAUCAUAAGUAAGCAUGCAAAUUAUACCAAAAGAUUUAAAAAAGAUUACAUAUUCCUAAUUCUCC